GGGCACAUGGUGUAGUUGGUUAUCACAUCUGCUUAGCAUGCAGGGGGUGCUGGGUUCAAUUCCCAGUGUGUCCA
Molecule: non-coding RNA, 74 nt
Organism: Abortiporus biennis
Lineage: Eukaryota; Fungi; Basidiomycota; Agaricomycetes; Polyporales; Podoscyphaceae
Source: the annotation of a GenBank genome assembly